GGCGGACGGGUGAGUAACGCGUGAGGAACCUGCCUUUCAGAGGGGGACAACAGUUGGAAACGACUGCUAAUACCGCAUGACACAUAGAUGUCGCAUGGCAUUUAUGUCAAAGAUUUAUCGCUGAAAGAUGGCCUCGCGUCUGAUUAGCUAGUUGGUGAGGUAACGGCCCACCAAGGCGACGAUCAGUAGCCGGACUGAGAGGUUGAACGGCCACAUUGGGACUGAGAUACGGCCCAGACUCCUACGGGAGGCAGCAGUGGGGAAUAUUGGGCAAUGGGCGCAAGCCUGACCCAGCAACGCCGCGUGAGGGAAGAAGGCUUUCGGGUUGUAAACUUCUUUUGUCAGGGACGAGUAGAAGACGGUACCUGACGAAUAAGCCACGGCUAACUACGUGCCAGCAGCCGCGGUAAUACGUAGGUGGCAAGCGUUGUCCGGAUUUACUGGGUGUAAAGGGCGUGUAGCCGGGAGGGCAAGUCAGAUGUGAAAUCCACGGGCUCAACUCGUGAACUGCAUUUGAAACUACUCUUCUUGAGUAUCGGAGAGGCAAUCGGAAUUCCUAGUGUAGCGG
This 568-nucleotide ribosomal RNA is filed under the name uncultured bacterium. RNAcentral's name for it is "bacterial SSU rRNA". It matches the Rfam family "Bacterial small subunit ribosomal RNA", at positions 97 to 681 of the family's 1533-position model. The record is from RNAcentral.